AGAGUUCGAUCCUGGCUCAGGAUGAACGCUGGCGGCGCGCCUAACACAUGCAAGUCGAACGGCACCUAUCUUCGGAUAGAAGCGAGUGGCGAACGGCUGAGUAACACGUGGAGAACCUGCCCCCUCCCCCGGGAUAGCCGCCCGAAAGGACGGGUAAUACCGGAUACCCCGGGGUGCCGCAUGGCACCCCGGCUAAAGCCCCGACGGGAGGGGAUGGCUCCGCGGCCCAUCAGGUAGACGGCGGGGUGACGGCCCACCGUGCCGACAACGGGUAGCCGGGUUGAGAGACCGACCGGCCAGAUUGGGACUGAGACACGGCCCAGACUCCUACGGGAGGCAGCAGUGGGGAAUCUUGCGCAAUGGGGGGAACCCUGACGCAGCGACGCCGCGUGCGGGACGGAGGCCUUCGGGUCGUAAACCGCUUUCAGCAGGGAAGAGUCAAGACUGUACCUGCAGAAGAAGCCCCGGCUAACUACGUGCCAGCAGCCGCGGUAAUACGUAGGGGGCGAGCGUUAUCCGGAUUCAUUGGGCGUAAAGCGCGCGUAGGCGGCCCGGCAGGCCGGGGGUCGAAGCGGGGGGCUCAACCCCCCGAAGCCCCCGGAACCUCCGCGGCUUGGGUCCGGUAGGGGAGGGUGGAACACCCGGUGUAGCGGUGGAAUGCGCAGAUAUCGGGUGGAACACCGGUGGCGAAGGCGGCCCUCUGGGCCGAGACCGACGCUGAGGCGCGAAAGCUGGGGGAGCGAACAGGAUUAGAUACCCUGGUAGUCCCAGCCGUAAACGAUGGACGCUAGGUGUGGGGGGACGAUCCCCCCGUGCCGCAGCCAACGCAUUAAGCGUCCCGCCUGGGGAGUACGGCCGCAAGGCUAAAACUCAAAGGAAUUGACGGGGGCCCGCACAAGCAGCGGAGCAUGUGGCUUAAUUCGAAGCAACGCGAAGAACCUUACCAGGGCUUGACAUAUGGGUGAAGCGGGGGAGACCCCGUGGCCGAGAGGAGCCCAUACAGGU
This 1005-nucleotide ribosomal RNA is filed under the name human gut metagenome. RNAcentral's name for it is "bacterial SSU rRNA". It matches the Rfam family "Bacterial small subunit ribosomal RNA", at positions 8 to 1039 of the family's 1533-position model. The record is from RNAcentral.